CAGAUCACUUACAACUAUUUAUUUACUUAGCAAACUCCCUGGCCAGAUCUAGUCACAUAACUCCACUCAACCAAAAGUUCUGGGUCCAGAGAAGGGAGACCCAGAAGUAUCUGGCAAACAUCAUUACUAACUCCCUAAGUACUUCUCCCAACUCUGUGUUAAGUGCCAGUCAUUUCACGUCCCUUAAGGAGGUCAUAGUGGGGAAACCAGGGGAAAGUAAACAAAACAGCUACAACCUGGAAAAUGCUAUGGUAGCCUAAACUCUCUCUCAGUGUACACUACAAGGAAUUAAGGUUUUAGUGUUCCAAGCCUAGGAGCUGAAGCCCAGAUUACCACUGGAAGUCUUCUGGCAACCAUGAGUGGAACCAGCAUCGGGACAACUGAGAAGUCAUGGAAGGAACCUGGAUCCCUAAGGCAAUGCCAUGCCACACCCCUGUGGACCUGGAGCCUGCUCUACCUCUCAACGGAUAGUUUGUGAGAUAAUAAACGUCUUCACCAUUUGAGCCAACUUGAGCCCGGCUUCUGUUACUUGCAGGCUGAAGCAUCCUAAGUGAUAUCCCAAAUAAUACACUCAUCUCCAUGUUGCUUGAUAAGUAAGCUGAAAAUUAAGAUAUGGGCGCGCGCGUGCGUGUGUGUGUGUGUCUGUGUGUGUGUGUGUGUGUGUAUGGGAUCUCACCCAGCUGGAUUCUGAGGCCCCAGAAGCAGAUACUAUAUCUUUUCUUUCUAUCUACUCACAAGGCUUGCUGCUGCCUUGACUGCAACAGGUGCUGACUUCCCUACAAACAUGUCCCCCCCAGUCUCUCCAUCCAUAUUUGUACAUCCAUAGACACUCCUAAGGAAGCAAAUGUUCAGCUACUCGAUGCAACAACUCAGCACAGAAACACACAAAGACUCACUAAGGGACACAAUUUGCUAUAAGCCAAGAUGUCCAAGGAAAACAGCAGACCCACAAGUUUUACAGAGUAAACCUGCUCAGUUAUCUAAAAUAGUGCUUUUCAAACAGUGAGCUGUUUUAAUAUGAAAUCAGUUUAAUACUAUGCAAGUCUGCAUUUAAAAAAAAAAAAGUAAAACGGAAAAUAUAAGCAUGUGUUACACAUAGUAAGGGUUAAGACUGUUUCGUGAAGCUUUUGUUUCAAGCACAUGUUGGGGGUCUAAGUGCAAUGAAAUGUGUUUUCUCACUGUUGGUGGCCAUGUGAUGAACACUGAUUUCAAAGGAAUCCUCUGGUGCCAUCUGGCGGUAAAAGCCAUACCUGCAGUUGAGGCAGGAGUAGUAGAGCAGUGAUGAGAACACAAACCAAACAGGUUAAGGGUAGGAAGCGGACUUAGAAAUGAUCUAGUCAACUCCAAUAUCCAGCGCAAGAAUGCUUUCAACAGUAUUAAGCCACUGCUUGACUACUCCCCACAAAGAAGGCACUCACUCCACUGCUAAGCAACUGCUGAAAAGCUGGUCAAUUUGCCUCCCUCUAAGCACUCCUUCCUGGACUUAUUAUUGCCUCUUGGAUAACAAGGAGCAGUUUCUAUUCCUCUCAGUUCUGUAUUAUCAGUCAAUUAAAUACUAUUGAUUCAGUCAAGCAACAUUUAUUGAGUGUCUGCUAAGUGCGAGGCAUUGGGGAUACAGUGGUGACAAGACAGAGAAGGGACAGAGACAAACAUAAAUAAGAGAUUAUAACAAAUGAAGGAUUCAACAGUAUGGAGGAUAGAGGGACCUACUUUAGAGAAGGUGAAAGGGAAGGCCUCUCUGAAAAGGGGAUGCUGAGUUGAGUCCUAGGGAAUUGGACAAAGUCAGCUGUGCAAAAGGCAUUCCAGAAGGGAGGAACAGCAGAUAGAAACGCUGCGGGGUGGGAAUGGACUGGGAGCGUUCUAGUAUCAGAAAGUAGGCAUGGGGGCUGGAGAACAGUAGAAAACAGGAGAAACCAGGGAGGACUCUAGAGAGAGAAGCCAGCUGAGGUCACAGAGGGCCUGGCAGGAGCCUGGGACUGAUCUCAACAGCACGCUGGACGUGGUCAGUGAUGCGCAGCACAAAAGGUGGGGAGAUGCAACAGGACGUAACACAAGUACAUCUGAUCCUAGUUCCCACAAUUCCUUCUUCCUGGUGUUUCUAACACGUGUUUCUUUCUGAUCUUCAAAUCAAGAUGACUGACAGUGGUUCCCAUGUCUCGAGGAAAAAGGACCUCACUGAUUUGCCUAUGAGAUUGGCCAAGAUAAAAAGAUUUACAACACACUGUGGGAAAGAGUAAGGAAGAGAGUGCUGCUGGGCACUGCUCAUAGGGAGUUCUGAGGUGAAUGAGCAUGUUUCAGGACUUACAGGCCAUCAAGUGGCGAUUAGCUGAGCAAAUCACAGUGCAUCCACGCAAUGAAAUACUAACCAAUCUUGAAAACAUAAACUAAAAGAACUGGACAUGGCAAGAUGGUCAAGAUACGCUUUUCAGAGAAAAAGGAUAUCUGUGAGUUUCCACACAAUAGCGACCUUCAUACCAUCGAGGGUGUUGGUGACGCCGCAUUUCUUAAAAGACCAUCAUCAUCUUUCUCUGAGAUUUUCUUCCAAGCUGCUGCCCCUCACUCUGUAAGUUUUGAUACCUUUUCUUGAUCCCAUCAGAAGGUAUCAAUGGAUGGUUUUCAAACAGCAAUCAGGAUCUGUGCUCCUUCUUCAAAUGGCCUUUAAAUGGUAUGGGGACAAAAGCAUCCAGGGGCUGUGGUUGCAGAGGUCCAGCCCUGCCACCAGGAAUAACGACCAUGUCCACUUGCACAGGUAAUGACAAAUCUAACACAACCUGACAGUGACUGCAGGACACAUCAAGAAUAAAUCACAUCUGAUUUCAAAAAAGUUAAAAGGCAAGAACACAUGUGUCACAGAAUCAAUCAAACACAGCAUUGCUUCACAAGAAGAAAACAGUAACAAACAUAAAAGGCAAAUAUUAAACUAGGAAAAAUAUCUGUGACACACCACAAAGUAUUAACAUCCUUUCAGUAUAAAGGACUAGUAAAUUAGUAAGAAAAAAGCCCUAAUAUCCAAGAAGGAAAAAAAGGACAAAAGACAAAAAAAAGAACAAUUCACAAAAGAAAUCCAACUGAUCAAUGAACACACAUAUCAGCUCUAUCAAUAAUUUUUUAAAAAGCACAAUGAAAGCAAAAGCAGAGAGCAGUACUUCUCCUAUCAAAUUGGCAACAGAACUAUUUUUUAACAGAAGCUGGCGCUGGAGAGGGCUGAGGAGGAUGGCACUCAACACCGCCGCCAGAACAAUCAACUGGCACAGGCACGUCCAAGGCACCGUGGCAACAGGUACAGAAAGCCAGAAAAGCAUGUGUACCCAAUGACAGAACAACCCCACUUCUGGGAUCUAUCCUAAGGAAACAAGAAUGGACACAAAGAUUUUUGUACAAGAAUACUGAACCUGGAAUUAUCGCAUCAGGUGAACAAAGCAGAAUACAAAAUUACAUAUACAGGAUGCUCCCAAUUUUGCUAGAAUGAACAUAUACAUAUACAUAAAGACUGUCCCAAAGUAGAUACCAAAAAUCUAAUACUACUUAUCUCCAUACCACGAUCCUGUGCAUCUUGUUUGCUGUCCAUUCCCAUUAGUCCUCUGUUCCCAAAACCCAGAGAACAUCCCUUCUACUUGUAUGUCCUAAUUUCAUGUUUGAAACCCAGAUGCAAAGAAUCAAAUAUCUCAGAUUUAGACAGACCUCAAAGAUUUUCUCAAUUUCAUUCAAUCCACUACUACUCUAAAAAUUUUCAUGACAUUCACAUACCACAUGUUCAAUUUAAUAUGUCUUGAAAUCAACUACCUUUUUUUAAUACUCAGAAGAAGAUAUCUGGUAGCAUAUCAGACCUAACGCAUUCUGUAAUAAAUACCUAAUUAUUUAAAUUUAAAAUACCAGUCUGUGUACCGCCUAAAACCAUCUCACAUUCCUCCCGUGGGAAACACUGACCUGGCCCAACCCCUAUCUAUUCAUCCAAGAAAGAUUUACUGACUCUGUCCCAUCUGCGUGGGUGUCAACUGCCACAAUGGGAAUUUCAUGGCAAAGGUGUGAAAAAGCCUCCCAUAGGCAUCAUUUCAUCAGAGGGUUCAGGGCACGAGAAGGUGCCCUCUCUGCUCGCUGGCUGAUGAGGAUCAAGGCUGGGUUGGUUCAUUUUACUUCUAAUCAACACUCAUGAGUGCUCACUAGGCGCCAAGUGUUAUUCUAAACGCUUAACACGUAGGAACACAUAACCCUCCUAACAAGCCUACAAGGAAGGCACUGCUUUACAGACAGAUGUUAAGGUAGUUUCCUCAAGCUGUGCAACCUUGCAGAGAACUUCAUUCUGUUGCUUUUCAAACCUACUGACCCACCUGAUCUAGACCCCUCUCCCAACACUUCAGUUGUUUACGUCAUGUGUAUCUGUUUGUGAGUGUGUGUUUGUGUACCUGUUUGUAUAUACAUACACAUGUACAAUAAAACACAUACACGUAUAUACACGUGUGCAUGUAUACAUCAUCAAAAAUACGCAGUUUUGGAAAGACAGUUCACAAAAGAAGAUACAGGAAUGGCCAACAAGCACAUAGAAAGAUGUUUAACAUCGUUAGUUGCCAGGGAAAUGCAAUUUAAAACCAUAAUGAACUGCUAUUUCACACACAGUGACAAUACCGAAUGUUAACAAGGAUAUGAAGCAAUGGCAGUUUUGAUAUCUUGCUGGUGUAAACUGAUAAACCACUUUGGAAAUUAGUCUGGCAAUUAAAAUACAUACCCACCGGAGAAGAUCCAAGAUGGCGCCGUGAGUAGUCCUCUUUGUCUCUCGCCCUUCGAGUCUACAAUUAUUUGGACACUUAUCGCUUGACAAAGGAUAUCCAGACAGCAUCUCAGGACGUCUGAGACACCCACGUGACUAUACAUCAGAAGGCGGACGGACUUUCCUCCGGGAGGAUGUGGAAAUAGGUGAAAACUCUCUGACCCCGAUGGGCAGCCUAGUACCCGCAAGCGGCUUUCUUCCAACGGACGCCCCCAGAGGAUCCACACACAUCUAGGGCAGGAGCGAGAACACAACAGAGGAGCGACAGUGGAAACAGGUGACCAGAACCCUACCUAAACCCCCCGCAAUUACUCCUAAACGCAGAGGGAAACUUUGGAGUUGCACACCUGAGCCCGCGGGGAGAGUCUCUCCCCGCCAUUGGGUCCCAGAGAGAGUCACGGAGGGUACGGAGGUCUCCCAGCUGCCGUUGCCGGUGACCCGGAGGGGAAGCGCCGGAGCUCCGCCCGGGCAGCAGACAAAACUCUCUGUCUGCCGUUAGCAGAGGGGCCACGCUGAGGAUUCAUGGCUCCGGGAGAGGCCCAGAGAGAAUCCCAGAGGGCGGGGCGACCCCCAGCUGCC
This is a long non-coding RNA of Equus caballus (horse), 5344 nucleotides long. NCBI's taxonomy places the organism in Eukaryota, Metazoa, Chordata, Mammalia, Perissodactyla, Equidae. The record is from Ensembl.